This 953-nucleotide long non-coding RNA is filed under the name Physcomitrium patens. RNAcentral describes it as "long non-coding RNA (PPAT_LNC013332)". Lineage: Eukaryota; Viridiplantae; Streptophyta; Bryopsida; Funariales; Funariaceae. The record is from RNAcentral.
AUCACAAGGAUUUGCACUUUCGAAAAACCUGCUAAACAUGAAUUUCCGAUUCUUAGGGCGCCGAUGGAUAGCUAUAGACCGAGUUGGAGAGAUAGGCCUGUUGAUAUUGCCCGGAAGCUUGUUGUUGUUCCGAAUUAUAGAAAGUGGUUAGCAAUGGAUGACCGCGUGGGCGUGGUUGUGGAUUAGGAAUGCACAAACUGCUCUGGUGGUAAGGUUUCGACAAAUGGCGCAUGUGCUGGCAGGAAACCGAACUAAUUUGUCACCGUAGAGUCGCCAGUUGCCACCAGGUGAUUGCAGGUUUAAGGUGCUGACUGAGGAAGACUCUGCAGAGGAAUUUUCAGCGAGCAGUUACCAAUUAGUUCGGUUUGUUGGCAUAACGGCAUCAAUGCAUCACGACAGAGAAUAUACACACGCGCACACACACACGUGUAUAUAUAUAUAUAUAUAUAUAUAUAUAUGUGUGUGUGGAUUAAUUUUUGGGUGUAAAUCACUGGAUGGUUAUAGGUUUUGAAGGAGGUUUAGGGUUUGGGCGUUGCUUACUGUGGCAGUUGAUUUCCUCGCAAGAGCUUAGCAACUAUGAUUGCUUCCCCUCAUGUCGAUGGAUUACUGUAGGAUGCAAUCGGCUCAGCACCAGUCAUCAUCUUCGAACUGCUCUUUGUUACCGCUGCAGAAGGAUGAGUUGAGCCACUACUAUUCUGCGUUGGCAAUUUGAAAAAGCCAAAUUGCUGAAGAAGAGAGUAGAGAUGUGGACAUCUACGUUUUCUGAAACCUUACAUUACUGAGUAAAUUGAUGCAGUUCGUCGCGAAAUAUUGCUGCAAACGGAUCCAGCAUGGUGCUUCAUUAUCCUCUCGUCACCAAGGAUCGAUACAUACUGCUCCGAAGAUAACAGGCAUUUGUUAUGUCGAGGAUUUUGACAUAACAAAUGCCUGUUGGACUGCAAGUUGGGGGGGGG